UGGAAGCAGCUAUUCCUUUAAAGAGUGCGUAACAGCUCACUGGUCGAGCGACAGGGCGUCGAUAAUAAUCGGGCAUCAAACCUAAUACCGAAGCGAAGGAUUGCAGCAAUGCAGUGGUAGGGGAGCAUUCCAAAGACGGCGAAGGUAUCUCGUAAGGGGUGCUGGAGACUUUGGAAAAGCAAAUGUAGGCAUAAGUAACGAUAAGGCGGGCGAGAAACCCGCCCACCGUAAGACCCAGGUUUCCUGAUCAACGUUAAUCGGAUCAGGGUUAGUCGGGGCCUAAGGCGAACCCGAAGGGGGUAGUCGAUGGACAAUGGGUUAAUAUUCCCAUACUAUUUAUACAGGUGAUGGAGUGACGGAGUGAUGAAAGAUCCGCCCGGUGACGGAAUACCGGGUUAAAGCGAGUAGGUAUUGGUCUGGUAGUUAAAUGCGCCGGACUAGCCGAACGUGAUAGUACCGAGCGUCUUCGGACAAUUGGAUAGUGAUCCUAAGGGCUUCCAAGAAAAACUUCUAGCGUUAAGCGUAUAGAUACCCGUACCGCAAACCGACACAGGUGGUCGAGGAGAGAAUCCUAAGGUGCUCGAGUGAAUCAUGGCUAAGGAACUCGGCAAAAUGGCCCUGUAACUUCGGGAGAAGGGGCGCCCCCUGCGAGGGGGGCCGCAGUGAAGAGGCCCAGGCGACUGUUUAACAAAAACACAUGGCUUUGCAAAGUUUAACGACUAAGUAUAAGGCCUGACACCUGCCCGGUGCUGGAAGGUUAAGAGGGGAUGUUAGCGCAAGCGAAGCAUUGAAUCGAAGCCCCAGUAAACGGCGGCCGUAACUAUAACGGUCCUAAGGUAGCGAAAUUCCUUGUCGGGUAAGUUCCGACCUGCACGAAUGGUGUAACGAUCUGGGCACUGUCUCAGCCAUGAGCUCGGUGAAAUUGUAGUAACGGUGAAGAUGCCGUUUACCCGCAGUGGGACGAAAAGACCCCGUGCACCUUUACUAUAGCUUCGUAUUGACCCUGGAUAAGUAAUGUGUAGGAUAGCUAGGAGACUUUGAAGCGGCGUCGCCAGGCGUUGUGGAGUCAUUGUUGAAAUACUAGCCUUUGCUUAUUUGGGGCCUAACUCUCGAGAGAGAGGACAGUGCGUGGUGGGUAGUUUGACUGGGGUGGUCGCCUCCAAAAGAGUAACGGAGGCUUCUAAAGGUUCCCUCAGCACGCUUGGUAAUCGUGCGUAGAGUGCAAUGGCAUAAGGGAGCUUGACUGAGAGACAUACAAGUCGAUCAGGUAGGAAACUAGAGCAUAGUGAUCCGGUGGUUCCGCAUGGAAGGGCCAUCGCUCAAAGGAUAAAAGGUACGCUGGGGAUAACAGGCUGAUCUCCCCCAAGAGCUCAUAUCGACGGGGAGGUUUGGC
This 1393-nucleotide ribosomal RNA is filed under the name marine metagenome. RNAcentral describes it as "bacterial LSU rRNA". It matches the Rfam family "Bacterial large subunit ribosomal RNA", at positions 1107 to 2522 of the family's 2925-position model. The record is from RNAcentral.